This 367-nucleotide unclassified non-coding RNA is filed under the name Hevea brasiliensis (rubber tree). Lineage: Eukaryota; Viridiplantae; Streptophyta; Magnoliopsida; Malpighiales; Euphorbiaceae. The record is from RNAcentral.
GAAAGAAUGAGAUAAGAUGGCUCAUAUACGCUCUAAUAAAAACCCUAAAAUAGGCUAAAAGUGGGUCUUGUAUGAAUUCAUUGCACAUGUGUAAAAACUGCCACAUCAAUUGAAUUUAGUAAAAUUGCAUGGCUAUACAAGUGCUUGUGCAUGAUCUUAUGCAAAAUCAGGUCUGAGAAUGAUCGGUGAAGAUGGACUUGCAUGGCCAUGCAAAAGGCUGUACAACUUUCAGCAACUCUGGAUAAUUUUUCAACUUUCUGCAUAAGUAGUUGCCCAGACUGUACAAGAGGUUGUUCAACUUUUGGUAGAAAUUAGCAACUUCUCUAUUUUCCUGGACAAGUUACACAAGCUGUGCAGGUCCUUGUGC